GAUGAACGCUGGCGGCGUGCCUAAUACAUGCAAGUCGAGCGAACGGACGAGAAGCUUGCUUCUCUGAUGUUAGCGGCGGACGGGUGAGUAACACGUGGAUAACCUACCUAUAAGACUGGGAUAACUUCGGGAAACCGGAGCUAAUACCGGAUAAUAUUUUGAACCGCAUGGUUCAAAAGUGAAAGACGGUCUUGCUGUCACUUAUAGAUGGAUCCGCGCUGCAUUAGCUAGUUGGUAAGGUAACGGCUUACCAAGGCAACGAUGCAUAGCCGACCUGAGAGGGUGAUCAGCCACACUGGAACUGAGACAAGGUCCAGACUCCUACGGGAGGCAGCAGUAGGGAAUCUUCCGCAAGGAGCGAAAGCCUGACGGAGCAACGCCGCGUGAGUGAUGAAGGUCUUCGGAUCGUAAAACUCUGUUAUUAGGGAAGAACAUAUGUGUAAGUAACUGUGCACAUCUUGACGGUACCUAAUCAGAAAGCCACGGCUAACUACGUG
This 497-nucleotide ribosomal RNA is filed under the name uncultured bacterium. Its description in RNAcentral is "partial 16S ribosomal RNA". It matches the Rfam family "Bacterial small subunit ribosomal RNA", at positions 28 to 507 of the family's 1533-position model. The record is from RNAcentral.